RNAcentral lists this ribosomal RNA (394 nucleotides) under uncultured bacterium. RNAcentral's name for it is "partial 16S ribosomal RNA". It matches the Rfam family "Bacterial small subunit ribosomal RNA", at positions 523 to 918 of the family's 1533-position model. The record is from RNAcentral.
ACACGUCGGGGGCGAGCGUUGUUCGGAAUCAUUGGGCGUAAAGGGCGUGCAGGCGGUCCUGCAAGUCCGGCGUGAAAGACCCCGGCCCAACCGGGGGGACGGGCUGGAAACUGCAGGGCUUGAGUACAGGAGGGGAUGCCGGAAUUCCAGGUGUAGGGGUGAAAUCUGUAGAUAUCUGGAAGAAAACCAAUGGCGAAGGCAGGCAUCUGGCCAUGUACUGACGCUGAGACGCGAAGGUGCGGGGAGCAAACAGGUUUAGAUACCCUGGUAGUCCGCACAGUAAACGAUGUGCACCAGGUGGCGGGGGGUCGACCCCCGGUACCGUAGCUAACGCAUUAAGUGCACCGCCAGGGGAGUAUGCUCGCAAGGGUGAAACUCAAAUGAAUUGGCGGGG